AGAAGGAGAAGAGAUUAGGAGGAAGAGGAUGAGAAAGGAGGGAGAGCGCUCGUGGGUGGAUUUAGAGGAGAAGGAAGAUGAUGAGGUGGAGUAGGUGAGGAGAAAAGAGAGGAGAGAGAAAGAAAGGCUGUCCGUAAGGAAAGACAAAGGUUGAGGAGAAGAUGGAUAAAGAGAGGUAGGCGGACUUAGAGGAGGAGAAAAAGAAGCGAGAGAGGAGGAAGGAGAUAUGGAGGAUGGAGAGUUCGCUAGUGAAAUUGGUGGAGGUGAAGAGAGUCAUUAUAGAGGGAGAAGGCGUACAAGCGGAUUUGGAAGAGGAGGCAGAGAAGUGGAGAGGGAAGGAAGGGUCGUGAAUGAGCUUAGAGGAAGAGAAGAAUGAAGAAAAGUGAAUCAGAAGGAAGGAGAUGAGAAAAAGGAGAGAUCGUUGGUGAGGAAUGAUUGGAGGUGGUGGGGGCCGCCGUGGAGAGAGAUUUGAGCGGGCUUGAAGAAGGAGGAGGAUAAGUAAGAAAGGAGAAAGGGG
This 517-nucleotide long non-coding RNA is filed under the name Elaeis guineensis (African oil palm). RNAcentral's name for it is "long non-coding RNA (EGUI_LNC026955)". The record is from RNAcentral. Lineage: Eukaryota; Viridiplantae; Streptophyta; Magnoliopsida; Arecales; Arecaceae.